This 492-nucleotide ribosomal RNA is filed under the name uncultured bacterium. Its description in RNAcentral is "partial 16S ribosomal RNA". It matches the Rfam family "Bacterial small subunit ribosomal RNA", at positions 29 to 507 of the family's 1533-position model. The record is from RNAcentral.
AGUGAACGCUGGCGGUAGGCCUAACACAUACAAGUCGAACGGCAGCACAGUAAGAGCUUGCUCUUACGGGUGGCGAGUGGCGGACGGGUGAGGAAUACAUCGGAAUCUACUUUUUCGUGGGGGAUAACGUAGGGAAACUUACGCUAAUACCGCAUACGACCUACGGGUGAAAGCAGGGGAUCUUCGGACCUUGCGCGAUUGAAUGAGCCGAUGUCGGAUUAGCUAGUUGGCGGGGUAAAGGCCCACCAAGGCGACGAUCCGUAGCUGGUCUGAGAGGAUGAUCAGCCACACUGGAACUGAGACACGGUCCAGACUCCUACGGGAGGCAGCAGUGGGGAAUAUUGGACAAUGGGCGCAAGCCUGAUCCAGCCAUACCGCGUGGGUGAAGAAGGCCUUCGGGUUGUAAAGCCCUUUUGUUGGGAAAGAAAAGCAGCAGGUUAAUACCCCGCUGUUCUGGCGGUACCCAAAGAAUAAGCACCGGCUAACUUCGUG